This 730-nucleotide long non-coding RNA is filed under the name Nicotiana tabacum (common tobacco). Its description in RNAcentral is "long non-coding RNA (NTAB_LNC018881)". The record is from RNAcentral. Lineage: Eukaryota; Viridiplantae; Streptophyta; Magnoliopsida; Solanales; Solanaceae.
CCUUGUCAAGAAGUCAGAGUAUUAUCGGCAAUCAAGAGUAUCCUCGUGCUGCUUUAUCACCACAUGAAAGGAGAAUUCUGCUAAAGCCUGACUCUUUUAUUUUAAUGACUAAAUAAAUUGCAACUCUUUAAAUUCUCCAUGUUUCGAAUGAAAUAAUGCAAAGGUCGGACAAUAACUUUUUAAGAUAAGAACCUUUUUGAGCGUUAAAUUAUACAUAUAGCAUUUCAAGAGAUAGCACAAUAAGUGUUGGAAGAUGAAAGGAAAUAAGAUACUGAAUAUACUAAAGGAGCACAACUUUGGACUUCCAAAGGAUCAGAUAAAACGUACAAGUAAUUAUAGUUCAAGGGCUUAAUUAAUCGACUCUUGUGGUCCUAAAUAGUCAUAAUUAAGAUUUAACGCCAUAAAAACAAUAAGGAGAAGCCUAAUGAAAGGAGAAUUCUGCUAAAGCCUGACUCUUUUAUUUUAAUGACUAAAUAAAUUGCAACUCUUUAAAUUCUCCAUGUUUCGAAUGAAAUAAUGCAAAGGUCGGACAAUAACUUUUUAAGAUAAGAACCUUUUUGAGCGUUAAAUUAUACAUAUAGCAUUUCAAGAGAUAGCACAAUAAGUGUUGGAAGAUGAAAGGAAAUAAGAUACUGAAUAUACUAAAGGAGCACAACUUUGGACUUCCAAAGGAUCAGAUAAAACGUACAAGUAAUUAUAGUUCAAGGGCUUAAUUAAUCGACUCUUGUGG